RNAcentral lists this microRNA precursor (85 nucleotides) under Triticum urartu. Its description in RNAcentral is "mir-395 microRNA precursor family". It matches the Rfam family "mir-395 microRNA precursor family". From Rfam's summary of the family: mir-395 was identified in both Arabidopsis thaliana and Oryza sativa computationally and was later experimentally verified. mir-395 is thought to target mRNAs coding for ATP sulphurylases. The mature sequence is excised from the 3' arm of the hairpin. The record is from Rfam by way of RNAcentral. Lineage: Eukaryota; Viridiplantae; Streptophyta; Magnoliopsida; Poales; Poaceae.
GUUUUACCAUGAGUUCCCUACAAGAACUUCACAAGGCAUAUUCCAAAUGCCACCGUGAAGUCUUUGGGGGAACUCUUGGUGCCAC